AUUGAACCCAGGCCCACAGCAGUCAAAGCACUGAGUCCUAACCACUGGACUGUAACUUUUUUUUUAACUGGAGGAAAAUUGCUUUACAGUGUAUGAUCUAGUAACUAGUUUUUAAAGGUAUAAUGAAUUUCUUCUCUAACUCCGUUUAUUAUCGGCAGGUGUGUAAAAUGCUGCUUUUCCUCCCACCAGGCCGCGUGUGUCUCUCAGAGCUGAUUGUAAUUCCUGUAAGAUGCAUUCACUGUGCCAAUUCAGGGAGGAUUCUUAGAGAGGCUCAUGUCACAUGGCGACUUCUACCAAGGAGGGAAAAGAUGGACAGAUUGCGUCCCCACAGUCAGAAACUCCUCCAGAUGUCCCCAAGACACCAACACAGCGAUCCUCUCCCGGGGUCUCUAUUCCUCUGGCCCGUGUGCUUCUCUUGGUGCCAUUUCCAGGGUGUGGUUUCUGUAACUUCGUAA
RNAcentral lists this long non-coding RNA (455 nucleotides) under Capra hircus (goat). RNAcentral's name for it is "lncRNA (ENSCHIG00000007763.1)". The record is from RNAcentral. Lineage: Eukaryota; Metazoa; Chordata; Mammalia; Artiodactyla; Bovidae.